GAUGAAUGCUGGCGGCGUGCCUAACACAUGCAAGUCGAGCGGCAGCGCGGGGUGCUUGCACCCUGUCGGCUAGCGGCGAACGGCUGAGUAACGCGUAGGAAUUUGCCCCAAAGUGAGGAAUAACUGCCCGAAAGGGUAGCUAAUGCCGCAUAUGGUCUUCGGAUUAAAGGAUUUAUCCGCUUUGGGAGAAGCCUGCGUUGGAUUAGGUUGUUGGUAGGGUAAUGGCCUACCAAGCCGACGAUCCAUAGCUGGUCUGAGAGGAUGAUCAGCCAGACUGGAACUGAGACACGGUCCAGACUCCUACGGGAGGCAGCAGUGAGGAAUCUUCCACAAUGGGCGAAAGCCUGAUGGAGCAACGCCGCGUGAAGGAUGAAGGCCUUCGGGUUGUAAACUUCUUUUAUGAGUGAAGAAUAUGACGGUAACUCAUGAAUAAGCACCGGCUAACUACGUG
This 451-nucleotide ribosomal RNA is filed under the name uncultured bacterium. Its description in RNAcentral is "partial 16S ribosomal RNA". It matches the Rfam family "Bacterial small subunit ribosomal RNA", at positions 28 to 507 of the family's 1533-position model. The record is from RNAcentral.